This 773-nucleotide unclassified non-coding RNA is filed under the name uncultured Inocybe. Its description in RNAcentral is "sequence contains ITS1, 5.8S rRNA gene and ITS2". The stretch from base 278 to 431 matches the Rfam family "5.8S ribosomal RNA". The record is from RNAcentral. Lineage: Eukaryota; Fungi; Basidiomycota; Agaricomycetes; Agaricales; Cortinariaceae.
AAGUCGUAACAAGGUUUCCGUAGGUGAACCUGCGGAAGGAUCAUCAUUGAAUAAACUUGCACAGGUUGUUGCUGGCUCUCUGGGGCAUGUGCACGCCUGUCAUCUUUAUUUCUCCAACUGUGCACAUAUUGUAGACCUGGAGUUUUUGUUCUGAAAUCAUUUUCGAGUUGGGACUGCUGUGCUUCAUUCGGUUGAAGUGGGCUUUUCCUUACAUUUCUGGGUCUAUGUCAUUUCACAACCUCAUUUAGAAUGUCGAACCUAUAAAAGUUAAAUAUACAACUUUCAGCAACGGAUCUCUUGGCUCUCGCAUCGAUGAAGAACGCAGCGAAAUGCGAUAAGUAAUGUGAAUUGCAGAAUUCAGUGAAUCAUCGAAUCUUUGAACGCAUCUUGCGCUCCUUGGUAUUCCGAGGAGCAUGCCUGUUUGAGGGUCAUUAAUAUCUCAACCACAUCUGUGUGUGUGGCUUGGACUUGGGGGGACAGUGCAGGGACUUGUGUGGUCCUGCUCCCCUGAAAUGCAUGAGCGGUUUUGUGUGACCCCUGCUCUAGGUGUGAUAACAUAUCUGCAUCUGACCAGGGCUCCGAGCUGCCAUAGGAGAAAAGGCCCCUUUGCUCUUUGACCUCAAAUCAGGUAGGACCACCCGCUGAACUUAAGCAUAUCAAUAAGCGGAGGAAAAGAAACUAACCAGGAUUCCCCUAGUAACUGCGAGUGAACCGGGAAGAGCUCAAAUUUGUAAUCUGGCGGUCUCUGGCCGUCCGAGUUGUAAUCUAGAGAA